RNAcentral lists this ribosomal RNA (486 nucleotides) under Triticum aestivum (bread wheat). Its description in RNAcentral is "partial small subunit ribosomal RNA". Lineage: Eukaryota; Viridiplantae; Streptophyta; Magnoliopsida; Poales; Poaceae. The record is from RNAcentral.
AUGCCAAUGGACAAAGCACUAGAGCCGGAUGGGUUCACAGGGAGGUUCUACGCCACGUGCUGGAACAUUAUCUAGACAGAUUUCUUGAAGGCUAUGGACUGCAUGACCGAGAGGGAAUUGAGGGGAAUAGCGGCAAUCAACAAAUCACUUGUGUCAUUACUUUCAAAGAGGGAAGGGGCAUUGGAUCUGGGCGAUUUUCGACCAAUAAACCUAGUGCAUGGGGCUAUCAAAAUAUUUGAGAAGGUUCUCUCGUCUCGGCUAGCGGUGGAACUUCCGAAUCUAGUGGCAAAUCACCAGAGCGUGUUCGUGAAAGGAAGGUCCUUGCAUGAAAAUUCCAUGCUAGUACAGUGUAUGGCACGACGACUGCAUGUGUUGAGGAAUUUUUCCGUAUUGCUUAAGUUGGAUAUCUCUAAGGCCUUUGAUUCCAUGCAAUGGCCUUUCCUGUUGGAAGUGAUGCAACAUCUUGUUUUUGGUCACAAGUGGAGA